GCCGGUGAGAGGAGGGACAUGCAGCUUCUACUGCCUGUGGCUUCCACUCUGCUGAGUUAUCUGUGGCUUCCACUCUGCCGGGUUGUCUGUGGUCAAUGUCUCCCUACCUGGCAGGCCAAAGCGAGGCCUAUCCUCUUUUGACCCCCUUGGUCAGUACGUGCCCAGGAACCAUGUUCAAUAUCAUCUUGGAUCAAGUGCACUCAGGAUGAUAAAUGUGCUGUGAAACCAACUCCACAGCCUGAAUGUCCACAGUCAGACUGGAAAACCUUGGUGAUAGCCCUGGUGUGAGCCUGCCCUUGCUGCUGGGCCCUUCAUGAGCGCAGAGGCCAUGGCAGAGUACAGGGAGGCCAUGAGCCCCACAUCACUUUCCUUUGAUCUUUUUGCAGGGGGGAGUCUCACCUUCUUCCUCGGCUUCCCGAGUGCAACCUGGCCUGCUGCAGUGGGUGAAGUUUUGGUAGGCAAUUUCUUGCAGCCACCACCGAGGCCCCGAAAAGCACUGGUCGUCAGGGAGUUCCUCCCCUUGGCCCCCAGCCUGUGCCAGCCCUGGCCCGGCUGCCACACCUCUGUUUCCUAGGCUGGGGACCCAGCUUGUCUCUCCUUGUUUCUUCCCACUGCACUGUGGUGCUUCAGUGGCCACCAGCCUCGUCAGAUACACCAGC
Molecule: small RNA, 659 nt
Filed under: Pan troglodytes (chimpanzee)
Lineage: Eukaryota; Metazoa; Chordata; Mammalia; Primates; Hominidae
Description: retained intron
Source: RNAcentral